AGAUACAGACUAUAAUAGGACUGUAGGAAUACUUUUGAUGAGAAGAAAGAAGAGCAACCAAAACAACAAUCAGAUAAAAGAAAUUUGAGUCUGAGGUACAGGUUUUCAUUUUAAGUUGCUGAUUUCCCUGAAAGCUGAACUACUUGAGACUUGGAGGCAUCUACAUGUUUUGUGCUUGCCAAUUACUCACACAAGGAAGUCCUUGAUUUAUGACCAGAAUUGAGUCUGGAAUUCUGAUCAAAAGUUGUGGCAAUCAUUAUGCAAGUGACCAUGUGACCAGAGGAUAAGGUGGAUCAAGCAAAAUGCAGGAAAAAGAGUAAUACACAAAAGAAUAAGUAUGAAAUGAAGAUCCUUCUCUGUGGGGGCUCCCACACUCUGGAACGAACUUCCCCCGGGUCUACGCCAAAUACCUGACCUUCGGACCUUUCGCCGCGAACUGAAGACGCAUCUUUUUAUUCGUGCGGGGCUGGGUUAAUUUUUUAUGGAUUUUAUAGUUAUUAUUAAUUUUAAACGGGAUUUUAGUUUUUAUAUAUUUUUAAAUUUUUAGGCAAAUCAUAAUAAGUUUUUUAAUUUACAUUUUAUAUAUAGUGUCUUGUUUGUUUUUUA
This is a long non-coding RNA of Ahaetulla prasina, 606 nucleotides long. RefSeq lists it as uncharacterized. The transcript has 5 exons. The record is from RefSeq and is a predicted model, not a curated record. Lineage: Eukaryota; Metazoa; Chordata; Lepidosauria; Squamata; Colubridae.